GGAAGGACUGGCAGAGAAGACAACACCGAGAGUGGGGAUUUUUUUUGCCCUGCCUUUAGCUCCUUGCUGUUUGUCACAGCCUGCUCUUGCCUACCCACAGCAGCACGGGGAGCCCCAGCAUCCUGCACUGGGAGGCUGCUGGCUUUCCAAGCCUGGUAAAAACCAGGAGAGGCUUAACUUCCCUGCUUUGAAAAAAACAUCAGAAAUAUCCAAUAUCAAUAUUCUCGUCAAAUGGAGACAGGAAACCUAAGACAGGGAGCGGGGGCAGUCAGGCUUAUUAGCUGACUGCCUUCUCCAGCAGACUCAGUUAAAGAUGAGAGUUUUCCUCCUCUCCAGUCUUCUGGAAGAGCUUUUGCAAAGGCAGGAUCCCCAUUUCUCCUCCCUUGGAGCACCCCGCUACUCCCAACACCCCACGGACCCCUCAAUAAGCCUCUUUCCCCGGAGCAAGGCGAGGGGAAUCCCUCACUGAGCCAAAUCCCCUUACACAAACGCCUCGCCAGUCUUGUGACUUGCAAGGAGAGGCCAACUCCAAAUCUUCCAGCCUCCUCCCAGGAACCCUACAGCCCCCCCCAGGCUCGGUUUCCUCCACGUCCCCAUCUGUAACAGCAGCAAUCUCGCUGCAGAGAGCCGGCGCGUUCGCACAGAGCAGGCCUGCACGACAAAGGCAGAGCCCCAACCAUCUCCAAAAGGCCCUCGCAGGAAAAAAAACCAAAACACAAACCAACAAGAAAAAACCAAACCAAACAAACCAAAGUGGCUGGAGCUCAGACAUCACGUUUCGUAACAUGAGGAGAUCCCACAUGCAUGGAAAGGAGUCAGAGCUGGACACUCCCGUGGCCAGAAGGGAGUGAGGACAGAGCAAAUGAAUUUUUCCUGCCUUUUUCCCUCCACCUGGCAGAAAGGCUGUCUGAAAUCACACGGCAGAUAGGUCUAUCCAUGGCCUCUCCCAGUGCUCCGCAGAAUGAAAACUACCCUGUCUCCUCUGGUUUUAAUAUAAAAGUACUCCCUGUGAGGAGUACGCCAGGCAGGACUUCCCGGGAGCAUCCGUAGAGAGCAUCCACGACUCCCCGAUGAGAUGGAGAGUGCUGGUCUCAGCAGAUGACAGCAGCUCCGUCCCCGGCACUGCGCAG
This 1130-nucleotide long non-coding RNA is filed under the name Calidris pygmaea (Spoon-billed sandpiper). Its description in RNAcentral is "lncRNA (ENSCPGG00000014363.1)". The record is from RNAcentral. Lineage: Eukaryota; Metazoa; Chordata; Aves; Charadriiformes; Scolopacidae.